UGCUGGUGAAAGUCCAGCCCCAAGUCGCCUAGUAGCUGACAGGCAACUGGUGGAGAAAUCCUAAGGUUGAAGCCCUGUGACAAAGUAACUUCUAUUUAGAAGUGCGAGCGAAUCAGCAGACCGUAACAUA
Molecule: non-coding RNA, 130 nt
Filed under: Bacillus thuringiensis
Lineage: Bacteria; Bacillati; Bacillota; Bacilli; Caryophanales; Bacillaceae
Source: RNAcentral